AGAAGUCAUGGCUUAUGAAAAAGACCACCAGGGGUCCCCAUAUCAUCCAGAACAUAAUCCUGUUUGGCUACAGCAUCAUCUUUGCCUCAGCUGAAGCACAGGCAAGGACAAAGUCAAAAAAGCAAGUGUUAUCCCUGAAUGCUGUCCAUCAAUGAAGCUCAUCCCAACUUAAAUGGUAAAUUGAAUUUCCGUGAAGGGCUGAAAUGUUUCUCAUGAAGGAAAUUGUGGGUGCAGGUGAGAUAAACAUGAUGAGGUAAUUCUUCGGCUAUUAAAUUCCCAUCCUAGAUGUACUCAUCCUGGACAGUCACUUCUUAGCUAGUAACUGGAUAAAAGGAAUGACGGCUGCUGAUUUUAAUCUUAGAUUAGAAAGUAAGGAACAUCUUGUCUGGACUUUAAUCAUUCCUUGGGAAGCCAAA
Hyla sarda is the source of this 416-nucleotide long non-coding RNA. RefSeq lists it as uncharacterized. The transcript has 3 exons. The record is from RefSeq and is a predicted model, not a curated record. NCBI's taxonomy places the organism in Eukaryota, Metazoa, Chordata, Amphibia, Anura, Hylidae.